Dipodomys ordii (Ord's kangaroo rat) is the source of this 258-nucleotide non-coding RNA. The record is from Rfam. NCBI's taxonomy places the organism in Eukaryota, Metazoa, Chordata, Mammalia, Rodentia, Heteromyidae.
GGAUGGCUAUGACAUCUGUCACCUCACUGGUCCCCAGGGUUGAUGCGACUGAUCUAGCUGUUUAGGUAGUAUCCCCUUCCUCUAUCGCCACUCUUCCGUUAAAGAGAAAAACCAUCCCUGAGAGAGAAUCGUUCUUUGGCCAAGAGUAUGCUAUGCUCCCAUUCUAGAAUGCCCAAACAAGCUCUCAAGCCUUGGCCCUCUGGCCACAUUCCCAAGCAGGCUCUCCCGGCCCCUCUGAGACAUGCCUAGCCUCUGAAG